Long non-coding RNA from Phascolarctos cinereus (koala), 1745 nucleotides. NCBI's taxonomy places the organism in Eukaryota, Metazoa, Chordata, Mammalia, Diprotodontia, Phascolarctidae. The record is from Ensembl.
UGAGGCGACCCCACACAAUUCUGCAGGGAGACCCUGGGAGGGAGGGCAUGAUUUCCAAAGAAGGCCAUCCUCCUCACUAACUAAACUCCCAAACACGUACCCCCAAGACAAGGGUUAUGACCUGUGAUGUCAUCUCUCCCUCAGUUUCCUCCUCUGUGAAAUGGGCUAACAACGGCACCUACCUGCCAGGGCGGUCGGAGCUGACCAAAUGGGCGAAAAUUCAGGAAGUAUUUUACCACCUUUAAGGCGCUAUGUAAAUGUCCAACCCCCUUAUGUUACAGAUGGGGAAACUGAGGCACCAGAUGGUGGAGUGACUUGCCCAGGGUCACACAGCUAGUGAAGUCCUAGAGGCAGGAUCCGAACCCGGGACUCCAGCCUCCAGGCAAACUCUAAAACACCAGGCUGCCUUUUCUGUAUCGACUGUCCAGAUAAGCUGUCAUUUAAGAGGCCCAAGGCAGAGGUGACUCGCCUACAUGCCUACAGAGAGCACUCGCCAGGGCCACGAUUCCAACCCACGUUCGGUGCCCCACCCCCAACUGGACAAAUAAAUCCAUCAAGGUCCAGAGAGGACAAGCAACUAACCCAGAUCACCCAGCAAGCCGGGGUAGACCCAGGGCGCAGGCGCCAGGCCCGCGCAGGCGCAGACGGCUCCCUCCGGCCGAUGGGGGGGGUUCUGAGGGGAGGAGUCUCCCUCCUCUCCUACCCCGGGCUAGGGAUUGGGGGCUGGGGCUAAAGCCGACGCUGGGCCCGUUGUCCUCCAGCCGAAAGGACCGGGAGGGCUGCCACUGCGGGGACGAGGUGUCUGAGGCCGGGCCCGGCUCAGCCAGGCCUGAGGCUCCGCCCCCGUCGCCUUGGAGACGCGAGGACGCCUGGGAAAAGCUACGGGGAAGUGCCGGCGGGUUGGGUCUGUCUGCGCAGCCGCAGUCCCUCUCUUCCGCAUCUCUUUCUCUCCCCUCCCCAAGUCUUGAAGUGCCCAACUUGCGCCGUACAAAAAAAAAAAAAUUAUCUAUACAAAAGCUGAACUAUUGAAGUGCCCUCCUUCUACGGGCCUUCAGGGUCCUUUGUGGGUCUGAGAGUCCGGUGAGCGUGGAGUGUGACAAGUACUUUCAGGCACCCACGGGGCAGCCCCAUGGGGAGGACCUUCUAACCAGCGCCCUGUAAACACAACAUAGGGCCCUGCGGGGGUCGGAACCAACGAGACGAGAGCAGGCAGCGCGCUAGAGCGACCCUCGCGUCCCGGAAUCAUAGAGACGAGCGGCUCCGGCCGCGCUGGGAGUCCAGCGUCGGCUCUGCGCCCUCUGUGGUCGCGGAGGAAUCUGGGCUCCUGGAGCCGGUCGUUGCCUUGUGGAUUCCUCCUUUUGGUUUGUUUCGUGCAGCAACUCCUCCAAUUUUUGGACUCCUAGAGAGGAACUUUCUAAAAACUUCGUAGAUAUAUUCAUUUGGAAGGUGAAAAAAAUAACAAAUCAGAGAUUUAUUAAAAAGAUCUGGGUUCGAAUUCUACUCAGCUCCUUCCUUUCUGUGUGCCUGGGGGCAAGUCACUAACCCUCUCUGAGCCUCCUGAGCAGAGAAUUUAGAGGCUUCCUCCUAGAGGAAAUUGAAAAAUGGGUCAAGUUGCACUUUACCUCACCCUGUGGCUCCCUUACCCUCACUAUAUUUGUUCAUUUAAGUUCAACAGACAUUUAUUAAGCACCUGCUGUAUCCAGCCCUGAGCUAGACCCAGAACUGUGUUUUCUCAAUGAAGAAAC